CCUCUAGAGUUAUAGCCUCUUUCGCGACCUCUUCCAAAUCUUGAAGACUGAUUUUUAACUACAUCUUUAUUGUUGUCUUUCUCAAUAGUUUUUAUCUGAAAAAUCUAUUUCAUAACCCCUUGUACACGCCUAUUCAAACACUGCUCAUAUGCUUUAAGAGAACCAAUCAAACCAUUAAAAAAAAAUUUAGAUAGAUCCUUAGAUUCUUCAAUUGCAGCCAUAACAUGAUCAAACCUAGAAGGUAGGCUACGCAAAACUUUCUCAACAAUUGUUUGUUUAAUUAAUUUUUCAUCAAGAGAAUG
RNAcentral lists this long non-coding RNA (302 nucleotides) under Elaeis guineensis (African oil palm). RNAcentral describes it as "long non-coding RNA (EGUI_LNC004057)". The record is from RNAcentral. Lineage: Eukaryota; Viridiplantae; Streptophyta; Magnoliopsida; Arecales; Arecaceae.